AUUGAACGCUGGCGGCAUGCCUUACACAUGCAAGUCGAAUGGCAGCACGGGAGCAAUCCUGGUGGCGAGUGGCGAACGGGUGAGUAAUGUAUCGGAACGUACCUUUCAGUGGGGGAUAACGUAGCGAAAGUUACGCUAAUACCGCAUAUUCUGUGAGCAGGAAAGCAGGGGAUCGCAAGACCUUGCGCUGAUUGAGCGGCCGAUAUCAGAUUAGCUAGUUGGUGAGGUAAAGGCUCACCAAGGCGACGAUCUGUAGCGGGUCUGAGAGGAUGAUCCGCCACACUGGAACUGAGACACGGUCCAGACUCCUACGGGAGGCAGCAGUGGGGAAUUUUGGACAAUGGGCGCAAGCCUGAUCCAGCCAUGCCGCGUGAGUGAAGAAGGCCUCGGUUG
Molecule: ribosomal RNA, 393 nt
Filed under: uncultured bacterium
Lineage: Bacteria
Description: bacterial SSU rRNA
Rfam family: Bacterial small subunit ribosomal RNA
Source: RNAcentral